This 1238-nucleotide long non-coding RNA is filed under the name Parus major (Great Tit). Its description in RNAcentral is "lncRNA (ENSPMJG00000002806.1)". The record is from RNAcentral. Lineage: Eukaryota; Metazoa; Chordata; Aves; Passeriformes; Paridae.
CAGGAGGAAUAUUAUUUUUUAACAAUAAUUACCAUUAAAAAUACCUGAGCCUGGGGGAACUGGGGCUGGGACGAAGCCGGAGUUCCUGAUCCACCGAGUCAGAAUCCUGCUCCAGGCCCCUCUGCUUUGCCCCAAAUCCCAACAUUUCACCCCAGAAUUCCCUUCUCCAGCCCCCUGGCCCCGUUUUUCCCGCAGCCAAGGGGCAGAGGGGUUGAAUUCCCAAGGAAUCCCUGGGAAAUCCCAGGUUUACUCUCCUCUUCCCUCCCUGCCUCUCCCAGAGCACCUGACAGCCACGCUCGAGGAGCGGGACAGGAGGAUCAGUGAGUGCCUUUUCCCUUUUCCCAACAAUCCCAACCCCUGGCUCGGGGUUUCCGUUCGUUUUGGGAUCCCUGGGAGGUUUUGGGGUUGCACCAACCUGAGGAAUUUGGGAUUUUGGGGCCCCUUUUCCCCGUUCCCUCGGUGGGUCCAGACCUGGAAAAGCUCCAAAUAAUGUGAAUUUUCAUUUUUUUUUGGUUUCAGGCAAACUGACCUCGGACCUGGGUGAAUCCAACUCCAAACUCAGUUAGUUCAACACAAAAUCCUCAUUUUAAAGGAAAUCUGGGGGAAAUGUCUCCAUUCCUGGCCCCACAGAACCGAAGGAAUUAUUUCAUAAUUCUCAUUUUCCUGCUUUUUUCCCCUUUCCUCCUCCUGUUCCCAGAGGAACGCGACCGGAAGAUCAGUGAGUGCCAUUUCCCUGCUGCUUUUGGGGCAAAAUCCCUCGUUUUGGGCAGCUGGAUCCUCCUCCAUCCCAUCCUGGGGAAAAACAGCAAAUAACUCAAUUUUCCCCCAAAUUUCACCCAGAUUUGUGCAUUUCCUGUGGGGGGAAAAAACCCCAAAUAUUUAAAAUUUUCGUUUUUCCUCUGCAGCCAAACUUGCUGCUGAAAUCCGUGAGUCCUGCUCCUCCACCUCACUUGAUGAUUUUGGGCUCAAACUCCUCGGUUUUGGGUCAGUUCAGUGGCUUUUCCUGGAUUAAUCUGUUUUUCCUCGUCCCACAGGAAGAUUCACGGCGCUGCUGGCCGAGCGCGACUCCGGGCUCCGGAAGCUGCAGGCAGAGCUGGGUGAGCGAUGAGGAGAAGUGGGAAAACGAGCCAGAACAGCGAUUUUUAUCGUUUUUUAUUUUUAUUUUAACUCUGGUUCUUGCCUGGAUUUUAAACUUCAAUUCCUUUUCCCUCAGCCAAGUGCGACGCCACCAUCCGUGA